ACUGUUUUCUGCUGAGGAAGGUGACAUUACCAUACGGCCUGGUUGGCUGGCAGGGAGGCAAGCUGAGCUCCACCUGUUUUUAUGACAGCCAAGGCGAGGUGGGGAAGUGACCUCCCUGGUGUCAACCUCCUGAUAAGUCACAGCAUGUGUGGAGUGACAGCCUG
Molecule: long non-coding RNA, 164 nt
Organism: Oryzias latipes (Japanese medaka)
Lineage: Eukaryota; Metazoa; Chordata; Actinopteri; Beloniformes; Adrianichthyidae
Source: RefSeq, a predicted model, not a curated record